UUACGGCCGUAUCACGUUGAAACACCGGUUCCUGUACGAUCACGGAAGUUAAGCAACGUCGAGCCCGGUCAGUACCUAGACAGGUGAUUACUUGAGAAUACCAGGUGUUGCAAA
Molecule: non-coding RNA, 114 nt
Organism: Acanthosepion pharaonis
Lineage: Eukaryota; Metazoa; Mollusca; Cephalopoda; Sepiida; Sepiidae
Source: the annotation of a GenBank genome assembly